Non-coding RNA from Brachypodium distachyon (stiff brome), 125 nucleotides. Lineage: Eukaryota; Viridiplantae; Streptophyta; Magnoliopsida; Poales; Poaceae. The record is from Rfam.
CAAGUACUCCCACCGUCCCAUAUUAAGCGUCUGAAAUUUGCCGAAAUAUGGAUGUAUCUAUACCUAAAAGGCGUCUAGAUACAUGCAAUAUUUCGACACUUAAUAUGGGACGGAGGGAGUACUAC